RNAcentral lists this long non-coding RNA (289 nucleotides) under Brassica rapa (field mustard). Its description in RNAcentral is "long non-coding RNA (BRAP_LNC001312)". The record is from RNAcentral. Lineage: Eukaryota; Viridiplantae; Streptophyta; Magnoliopsida; Brassicales; Brassicaceae.
ACGCGGUUCUUAGCGCGUCCUUAGCAUAAUAGGUAAUUAAUUUAAAUCAAUUUAAAUCAAUAAUACAGAAAACGUUUGCUCACGUAUGUUAAUUAAGAAGUUUUAAGUUUGUGUCCUUAGCUGCACGUGUCACAUAGAGAGGGGAAGGAGUGUUCGGUGUUGGAAAAGUCUUCCAUCUCUCUCGACGAAAUCAUUCGCAUCGUCUCCCAUCUCUCUCGACGGUUUCCCUCCACCGAGCUCUCGACCGCGGACUCCGUCGAAUCCUCCGGCGAUCUGUCCCAUCUCUCCC